UAUUUUCCUUUUUUUCCCUCAGCCGCGGUAAUACAGAGGUCUCAAGCGUUGUUCGGAAUCACUGGGCGUAAAGCGUGCGUAGGCUGUUUCGUAAGUCGUGUGUGAAAGGCGCGGGCUCAACCCGCGGACGGCACAUGAUACUGCGAGACUAGAGUAAUGGAGGGGGAACCGGAAUUCUCGGUGUAGCAGUGAAAUGCGUAGAUAUCGAGAGGAACACUCGUGGCGAAGGCGGGUUCCUGGACAUUAACUGACGCUGAGGCACGAAGGCCAGGGGAGCGAAAGGG
Molecule: ribosomal RNA, 284 nt
Filed under: Akkermansia muciniphila ATCC BAA-835
Lineage: Bacteria; Pseudomonadati; Verrucomicrobiota; Verrucomicrobiia; Verrucomicrobiales; Akkermansiaceae
Description: partial 16S ribosomal RNA
Rfam family: Bacterial small subunit ribosomal RNA
Source: RNAcentral